AAUAGAUACCCGGGUAGUCCACGCCGUAAACGUUGGGCGCUAGAUGUGGGGACCAUUCCACGGUUUCCGUGUCGCAGCUAACGCAUUAAGCGCCCCGCCUGGGGAGUACGGCCGCAAGGCUAAAACUCAAAGGAAUUGACGGGGGCCCGCACAAGCGGCGGAGCAUGCGGAUUAAUUCGAUGCAACGCGAAGAACCUUACCAAGGCUUGACAUACACGAGAACGCCCUAGAAAUAGGGAACUCUUUGGACACUCGUGAACAGGUGGUGCAUGGUUGUCGUCAGCUCGUGUCGUGAGAUGUUGGGUUAAGUCCCGCAACGAGCGCAACCCUCGUUCUAUGUUGCCAGCGCGUUAUGGCGGGAACUCAUAGGAGACUGCCGGGGUCAACUCGGAGGAAGGUGGGGAUGACGUCAAAUCAUCAUGCCCCUUAUGUCUUGGGCUUCACGCAUGCUACAAUGGCCGGUACAAAGGGCUGCAAUACCGUAAGGUGGAGCGAAUCCCAAAAAGCCGGUCUCAGUUCGGAUUGAGGU
Molecule: ribosomal RNA, 529 nt
Filed under: uncultured bacterium
Lineage: Bacteria
Description: bacterial SSU rRNA
Rfam family: Bacterial small subunit ribosomal RNA
Source: RNAcentral